UACGGACUGUGCAAACGUUAUUCGGAAUCACUGGGCUUAAAGAGUCCGUAGGCGGCAUGUUAGGUGAGGUGUGAAAUCCCCCGGCUCAACCGAGGAAUUGCGCUUCAUGCCGGCGUGCUUGAGGGAGAUAGAGGUGGGCGGAACUGAUGGUGGAGCGGUGAAAUGCGUUGAUAUCCUAAGGAACACCGGUGGCGAAAGCGGCUUACUGGAUCUCUUCUGACGCUGAGGCACGAAAGCUAGGGUAGCGAACGGG
Molecule: ribosomal RNA, 253 nt
Filed under: uncultured bacterium
Lineage: Bacteria
Description: partial 16S ribosomal RNA
Rfam family: Bacterial small subunit ribosomal RNA
Source: RNAcentral